Molecule: non-coding RNA, 1668 nt
Organism: Camellia sinensis
Lineage: Eukaryota; Viridiplantae; Streptophyta; Magnoliopsida; Ericales; Theaceae
Source: RefSeq, a predicted model, not a curated record
CAAAUCUCUCAUGUAUGUGAUAGGAAAUUCGUUAUUUGAUCGGGAAUUUGGUUUACCCGAGCAUUACCCUUCUCAAUAACGGCUGACUAGAAGUAAAUCAUCGCAAAAUAUUUUGGAACAACCGAUCAAUCUCGAUUUGAGAGACUUGCUUAGAUGAGAUAGUUAAGCAAGCCGCAAUUUAAACCUCCUAAGGUUUCAGCUCCUGAAACACAAAAUGGCUUCUUUCAUCCAAUCUCCUACUAUUUCAACCAUUAGUAUUACUCAGAUACACUCUAGGAGCCUGAAAUUGUUGAGAUACCCAAAUCUACAGCAUCGCCACACCUUGUACCAUAAAUGCAUUAAACCAUCCCCUCUUUGCUGUACAAAUCUGUCUCCAUGGGAAGCCUCACCCGUCACAUAUGCUGAAAAUAAUGAUACUGGAGGGAAUUUCCUAAAGGAAACUGCCAACAUCUUUGAGACCCUGAGUUCUGAUAAGACAGAUGAAGCUCCUGUAACCACUAUCAAAGAGGUUACAGAUGCAGCUGAUCAGACACGGUCAUCUGUCCAGUUUCAGUACUUUAAAUGGCCUAUGUGGCUUCUGGGCCCGUCCCUUCUCCUUGCCACGGGCAUGGCCCCCACCUUAUGGUUACCCAUAUCUUCGAUUUUCCUUGGACCCAACAUAGCCAGCCUACUUUCCUUGACUGGACUUGACUGCAUAUUUAACCUCGGCGCGUCGCUCUUCCUUCUCAUGGCCGAUUCUUGUGCACGUCCCAAAAACCCAACUGAACCCUGUAGCAGCAAGGCUCCUUUUAGUUAUCAGUUCUGGAACAUGGUUGCAACCAUAACCGGCUUUAUCAUUCCCUUGAUAAUGAUGUUUGGUUCCCAAAAGGGCUUCCUUCAGCCCCAACUCCCCCCUAUUUCGUUUGCUGUUUUAUUGGGUCCAUACCUUCUGCUUCUGUCAGUACAGAUGAUUACAGAGAUGCUUAUAUGGCACUGGCAGUCCUCAGUGUGGCUUGUGACCCCUGUUAUCUACGAAGCAUACCGUGUUUUGCAGCUUAUGAGAGGGCUGAAGCUUGGGGCUGAGCUUAAUGCACCGGCGUGGAUGGUGCACUCCAUUAGAGGACUGGUGUGUUGGUGGGUAUUGAUUCUUGGCAUGCAGCUCAUGAGGGUUGCUUGGUAUGCUGGUUUCACUGCUCGUGCUCGUCAACCACAGUCAUCUGCUGUUGCUGAUGCUAAUUGAUGUCUAUAUGGUGAAGGGUGUGUAAUGGAUGGCGCCUUCAUACACAGGUUUGAAAGUCCACACAAGCAUUUAUUCAAGAAGAAAGAAAAUAUCCAAACAAUGAUGGUUUGUUUGCUUUCACAACAUAUACAAGUAUCCCCACAGCCGAGGCAUGGGACUAAUCCUGAGGGCCCUGAAGUUAACGACCGGACAAACCUCCAGUGGCCCGCACAGUAACCCGUGGGGAGUGGGAUUCGAACUUGGGACCUCCAGGAGGAGCAAACUCCCAGACCCCAGGUUUUCUUCCCUCACCCACUGGGCCACCCUUGCGGGUUAAUAUAGCAUAUGAAUUGCUAGAAUAAGUUUUUCAAAAUAUGAUAUUUUGAUAUUGUAAUAUGUUGAAGUAUCAUAUGAUACUGCCAAAAAUAGCACGAUUUGUUGCAGAUAAUAUAAGUCUGAAUUAUAAUGUA